UACAGAGGAGCCAAGCGUUGUCCGGAUUGACUGGGCGUAAAGCGCACGCAGGCGGUUGCGCGCGUGGGGUGUGAAAUCUGGCCGCUUAACGGCCAGGCGCCAUCCCAUACGGCGCGACUGGAGUGAUGCAGAGGUCGAUGGAAUUGCCGGUGUAGUGGUGAAAUGCGUAGAGAUCGGCAGGAACACCCAGGGGGAAACCAGUGGACUGGGCAUGAGCUGACGCUCAGGUGCGAAAGCGUGGGGAGCGAACCGG
Molecule: ribosomal RNA, 253 nt
Filed under: uncultured bacterium
Lineage: Bacteria
Description: partial 16S ribosomal RNA
Rfam family: Bacterial small subunit ribosomal RNA
Source: RNAcentral